UACGGGGGGGGCAAGCGUUGUUCGGAAUUACUGGGCGUAAAGGGCUCGUAGGCGGCCAACUAAGUCCGACGUGAAAUCCCCAGGCUUAACCUGGGAACUGCGUCGGAUACUGGAUGGCUUGAAUUCGGGAGAGGGAUGCAGAAUUCCAGGUGUAGCGGUGAAAUGCGUAGAUAUCUGGAGGAACACCGGUGGCGAAGGCGGCAUCCUGGACCAAUAUUGACGCUGAGGAGCGAAAGCUAGGGGAGCAAACGGG
Molecule: ribosomal RNA, 253 nt
Filed under: uncultured bacterium
Lineage: Bacteria
Description: partial 16S ribosomal RNA
Rfam family: Bacterial small subunit ribosomal RNA
Source: RNAcentral